UACUGAUUCAGUAGCCACUUUGAUGCUCAGA
RNAcentral lists this non-coding RNA (31 nucleotides) under Mus musculus (house mouse). The record is from RNAcentral. Lineage: Eukaryota; Metazoa; Chordata; Mammalia; Rodentia; Muridae.